Molecule: small RNA, 342 nt
Filed under: Arabidopsis thaliana (thale cress)
Lineage: Eukaryota; Viridiplantae; Streptophyta; Magnoliopsida; Brassicales; Brassicaceae
Description: ATSL273640
Source: RNAcentral
UUUAAUGCUUCAUGGACCAAACACACCUUAGUCCCUCUUCACUUCUGUAACGCCCGUGAACCAAAAAAUCGGAUAGUGUUUGUUUUUAAAUAAUCCGGUUUAAUUGGUUGGGUUAAUUGGAAACCCUAGAGUGUGCGUAUAAAAGAAGGAAACUCAAAAUUAGGGCUUUAGUUAGCCACGUUUCGUUUUAUAAAGGAGAAAAAGAGAGAGAAGGAGAAGGAGCAGAAUCGUUAGGGGUUUGGGAGAAAUCAGUUUCGUCAUAUCAAAUCGUGGUCAAAGGUAACGAAAUUUGGUAGAGUUAUUCCCAAGUUGUUUAUCGUUAUGCUCCAAUUAACAGAACUU